UUAAUAGGGCUGCGUAGCAGGUUACUUUGAUAUAGUAAAUUGUGAAUUAUUUUCCGUUAAU
RNAcentral lists this transfer RNA (61 nucleotides) under Echinococcus oligarthrus. RNAcentral's name for it is "tRNA-Ile". The record is from RNAcentral. Lineage: Eukaryota; Metazoa; Platyhelminthes; Cestoda; Cyclophyllidea; Taeniidae.